RNAcentral lists this long non-coding RNA (309 nucleotides) under Schizosaccharomyces pombe (fission yeast). Lineage: Eukaryota; Fungi; Ascomycota; Schizosaccharomycetes; Schizosaccharomycetales; Schizosaccharomycetaceae. The record is from RNAcentral.
ACUCGCUCGACUUUUUCUUCUCUCUCCCUCUUCUUCCCCCUUCCCCCUUCCUCCUCUCCUCCUUCUUCUUCUUCAUCUCUUCUUUCUUUCUUUCCUCCAAUUUUUCUCUUCGAAUUAGCAAGUCUUUAAUUUUUUGCCUACCAACAAGAAGAGAAAAAUGAAAGAAAUAAGAUGAUGGUUCCUUAAUGGAACAAAUCUUGGGAACAAAGGCUUAAUCUCAGCAGAUCGUAACAACAAGGCUACUCUACUGCUUACAAUACCCCGUUCCACAUUAAAGUCGUAUGCAAUGGAUUCGAUUCCGCACAAGAU